Molecule: long non-coding RNA, 1450 nt
Filed under: Homo sapiens (human)
Lineage: Eukaryota; Metazoa; Chordata; Mammalia; Primates; Hominidae
Description: HSALNT0062973
Source: RNAcentral
ACCCACGCGCGGCCCUCCUGCACCUCGGCCAGCACUCGUAGCGCGCUGGGCGAGCCGGACCGGAAGUUGAAGAAGUGAAGCGCCGCGCGCGCCGCCUGCUGCAGGAGCCUGCGCGGGACCCCAGCAUCCUGAGGCUGCCCAGGGUCGUCGGGGUCCCCGGACCCCGCGGGCGCCGCCACCGGGGCGAGCAACAGCAGCAGCGCGAGCAGCGGGGCGGUGGGGCGCGGGCCCCUGGGCCCGGACCAGGGAGCAGGCAGCCGUUGCCGGCGGGGCUGCAUGGACGCAGGAAAGUUGGCUCGGCACCCGACAGACACGGGCUCGGAGCGGGCAGUGCCGGCGCUCGCGGAAAUAAGGCCGUGGUGGGCCCCUCCCCUCCGCCCCCAGGGCGAAGAUAAUUGUGAAACACCUGUGCCAGGCCCUGGGGGAAUGAGGGUGAACAAUCUUAAACAUCUCUGCCUUCCUGGAGCACACCUUCUAGGUUGCACAGUGGCUCAGAGAGUAGACUUGGAGCCAGGCUGCCCGGUUUUAUAGCCCUGCUUGACCUGUGUGAUCCGAGAAUAAUCUUGUUUAAUCUCCACAAGUUUGAGGACUAAACUGGGUGCCACAGAGAAUUAAGUAACUGGUCGAGGUUGUAUCAGUAAGAAGGGAGCACGGAACAGAUUCAAGCUCAGGAACAUUUUCUUCUCAUCAUUGGCAGUGUGGGCUGGGCACGGUGGCUCAUGCCUAUAAUCCCAACAAUUUGGGAGGCAGAGACAGGAGGAUUGCUUGAGUCCAGAAGUUCGAGACCAGCCUGGCCAACAUAGUGAGACCCUGUCUCUAUUCACAUAUUUAAAAAUUAAAAGAAGUUUGGCAGCGUGUUCAGGAAGGACAGGACCUACUUCGAUCAUCUUACGACCAUGAGACAGGAUGGAGAAGGGAAGAAGCUUACACUUGGCAAUCUUCUAGGGAGGACUUUGGCUGAACCCAGUGAACCAGGAGGAAAAGAAUCACAAACAUCUGGAGUUUGUUGACUAGAAAAAUUCCUUGUGGUCUGACAGAUUACCAUUUCCUACCCAGCCAUUCUCAUCAGAGAAACCAGUCCCAUUUUCAACUGGCGCGGCUAGUUGAAAGUUCCACAUGUUUCCCCAGAAAAUGGCAUAGCCAGAAGGCCCUCACCAGAUUCCAGCACCAGCCUCCAGAACAUGAGCCAAAUAAAUCAUCGUUUAUAAAUUACCCAGUCUCAGGUAUUCUGUUUUAGCAACACAAAACAGACAAAAACAACCAUGUUUACUUGGCUGGUUGCCCCAUCUUUCUUGAAUGGAAAAAAAAAAAGCACUUGAAAUAGUCUGUGGAAAUUCUACCCAGUUUGGAAAUGCUGCUGAAUUCUCAUGUCUCUAGGCCCAGUUCACAACCCUCACUGAGCUGAUGCUACCAGGUAAAAAGCGAGCAAUUACGGUGUGCUGACCAUUUG